GCAGACUCACUACGCACCUGGCUGCAGCCCCCGGGUGGGCGCUUGUUCCCUCUGCCAGAGAAACAAACAUUCCUUAUAGUCCUAUGGUGCUGUGGCCACCUGACCUAUUAGGGCAAUGCAGCUGACUGGAGAUAAAGAG
Saimiri boliviensis boliviensis (Bolivian squirrel monkey) is the source of this 139-nucleotide small nucleolar RNA. RefSeq annotates it as small nucleolar RNA SNORA77. The record is from RefSeq and is a predicted model, not a curated record. Lineage: Eukaryota; Metazoa; Chordata; Mammalia; Primates; Cebidae.